CGGUCACUUCCAGGAACCCGGCCUCUGGCUGUGCCAGCCCGGCGGUCAGAGCGCGCGGAGAGGUUCCCAGAAAUCACACGCGCCCUGGAGCGGAGACAGUCCCCACCCGGGCGGCCUGGGCAUCACUGUUUUCGUCUCAUCACCGGCCCCAGGCCACCCUCUCCUGACGCUGCCCCCUGGCCCCCAGCCCCUGACCCUGGGAAGAAAGUCAGCGCAGACACAUUGGAGCUGCCUCGGGUACAGCAGCCAAGGCCGACCUCGCCUUCCCUCAUUGCAAGCUCUCUCCUCCUUGCAAGCUGUCUGCUCAACUGUUAAGCUCUCUCUCUUUUGUGGAGGCCUCUGCCCUUUCUCUCUGGCCUCAUUUCCUUACAAAGUCAGACCAGGACUCCUCCAUGCGCAGUGACAGAAACCUGUCUGAAAACAGCUUAAGCCAAAAGAGAUUUUGUUGGUUUGCAUCACAAGGAAGUCAGAGGUGGAGCAGGCCUCACUGGGAGCUGGAAGGAAGACUCCAGCAGUGUGUGCUGUCUCUCUUCUCCUCUGGGAUCUGCGUGGGACUCUGUGUGGGCCUGGGACUGACAGUCCGCUCCCUAUGUGGCUAGGCCUGUAACGGGAACCCGGCAGCAGUGGGUGGUGGCCUGCACGGGGCUAAGCCAGGUGGCAGGGUUCUCCCUGGAGUCUGGGGCCCUUAGCGUCUGAUCCAGUCCUUCCUGCGGCGGCUGCACCGUGACCUCCACUUUCUACAACACCCCUGCAAGCAUAGGGUAAAGGCUCCUUUGCUGAGUGUGAUUCAAGCUGAUUACUUUACUUGCAACGAAGAGUCUGGACUCACACAGGUCUCUGGGCAGAGCCGGCUCCAUCCCAGGCCUCUCUGCUUGUCCAAGAGACAGUGCUCGGGGAGCAAGGAGGAGAAGAGGAGGGACCCAGACACGCCCGGCCUCCAGCUCUGCAAACCUCUCCUCCCCACCGCUGUGAGACAGGGGAGUGGCUUAGCUCUCCUCUGACUCCAGGCCUGGACCAGGUCCCAGGAGGGCCUGUCAAGAUUCUGGGGGGAGGUGCUGAAGUAGGCAGAGAUGUUUGAGUAGCUGUCAGUGUAGCAGCAUCUUGCCCAGGCUCAGAAGUUUCUGGUGACCACCCAGCAGCCGCCUUCCAGCUCCACCAGCUGCAGGGUACAGCUGGUCCCGGCUCGGAGCAGGCGCUGCCAGCAGCAAAGUCCCAUCUUGGAGCUGCACAUCUGUGCGACUGCUGACCAGAAGCUCUAGAGUCAACGGGACCACAUGAGAAAACAGGUGGAGGAGAUGGGCACGGGGUGAAAAACCAAGAGAGCUCCUGGCUGCCAGAGCCCGAGGAGGAGGGGCAGCUGCCAUCCACCUGGCUGACACAGCUGCUGAGCGGCACUGCCUGUGCUGAGCACUCUGGUUCGGGGCCACUGGUGAAGGAGUCAUGCAUCCAGUAGCAGGUGCCAGACCAUCAUCCUGGGGCUGCCCCACACCUGAGCUGGAAGGACGGAACUGGCAGCCUGAGCCUGCCUGUCAUGUCUGUCCUGUCUUGACCCAAGAUUGAAGCAAGUGGUCCCAGAGGUGGCCCAGCAAAGACCCACAGAUCGCUAUUUCUCUGGUGGCCACAUGGCCUACCUGUGAAGGUCCCUCCCUGGAGAAACUACCCAAAGGCUGGGAAAUAAACAUUUUUG
Molecule: long non-coding RNA, 1687 nt
Filed under: Equus caballus (horse)
Lineage: Eukaryota; Metazoa; Chordata; Mammalia; Perissodactyla; Equidae
Description: lncRNA (ENSECAG00000059962.1)
Source: RNAcentral